AAAAUUAGAGUGUUCAAAGCGGGCAGAUAUUUUUCCUGCCACCGAAUACAUUAGCAUGGGAUAAUGGAAUAGGACCCUGACCUCCUAUUUUCAGUUGGUUUUGUUUAUACAGCGAGGUUCAUCAGGGUAAUGAUUAAUAGGGAUAGUUGGGGGCAUUAAUAUUUAAUUGUCAGAGGUGAAAUUCUUGGAUUUAUGAAAGAUUAACUUCUGCGAAAGCGUUUGCCAAGGAUGUUUUCAUUAAUCAAGAACGAAAGUUAGGGGAUCGAAGACGAUCAGAUACCGUCGUAGUCUUAACCAUAAACGAUGCCGACCAGCGAUUAGGAGACGUUGAAUACAAAACACCGCCGUUAAUCCUUUCGGGGAUUAAUGGUUGGUGAA
Molecule: ribosomal RNA, 378 nt
Filed under: Acanthamoeba sp. RAC013
Lineage: Eukaryota; Discosea; Longamoebia; Acanthamoebidae
Also listed under: 1 other name
Description: SSU rRNA
Rfam family: Eukaryotic small subunit ribosomal RNA
Source: RNAcentral